AUUGAACGCUGGCGGCAGGCCUAACACAUGCAAGUCGAGCGAGCGGCGCACAGGGGUGUAAUGUCUGGGAAAAUGUGUGAGGGAGGGGGGGAACAAUUGGAAAAGCUGGCUCAUACCGCGUACCCUCUGAUGUGCCCACAUGGGAUUAGCGAGUGGGUGGGGUAAUGGCGAACCUAGGCGCCGAUCCCUAGCUGGUCUGAGAGGAUGACCAGCCACACUGGAACUGAGACACGGUCCAGACUCCUACGGGAGGCAGCAGUGGGGAAUAUUGCACAAUGGGCGCAAGCCUGAUGCAGCCAUGCCGCGUGUGUGAAGAAGGCCUUCGGGUUGUAAAGCACUUUCAGCGGGGAGGCGUUACCCGCAGAAGAAGCACCGGCUAACUCCGUGCCAGCAGCCGCGGUAAUAC
RNAcentral lists this ribosomal RNA (406 nucleotides) under uncultured bacterium. RNAcentral describes it as "partial 16S ribosomal RNA". It matches the Rfam family "Bacterial small subunit ribosomal RNA", at positions 29 to 526 of the family's 1533-position model. The record is from RNAcentral.